RNAcentral lists this long non-coding RNA (3290 nucleotides) under Haliotis rufescens (red abalone). Its description in RNAcentral is "uncharacterized LOC125378533". The record is from RNAcentral. Lineage: Eukaryota; Metazoa; Mollusca; Gastropoda; Lepetellida; Haliotidae.
GAAAAGAGGACUUCUCCCACUGCUGGUGCUGUGCUACCCACUGAAGACGGUCCAGGAAACAAAGAAGAAGACUGAAAGGAUACCACUGGGAGUGCUUCAGUGAGGACCUCAGUGACCGUUCUCCAUCACAGUAGGUGCUCAGCGGAGGGGACUACCUCACCCUUGAGAGGCAGAAACAAGCCAAUCAUGCACUUACGAGAUGGACCUACACCAAGUUCCAGAUUACAAGGACUUGUUCCAAAGAUGGAAGAGUUCCAUAACGAAGCUGAAUUUCUAAAGGUUAUAUGGAAACACUUGUACUCGUCCUCCUCUAACAAGUCUGUUUGGCACUCUGCAUGCUGCAAAGGAGCACAAUAAAUGCGGUGAAUGUUACUCAGGAUCCUCAUGACAACUUUUACCCAUGCUCUGAAUUCAUGGACAAGGUCACCACCGCCUACAUCGUAACUGGGGGACUACAUUACUUCCAAAUGGAACACCUCACUUCUGUCCCAACGUCAAGUUACAUGGGUGCUGUUGGCAAUCCAUAUAAAAUGAUUGAUUAUUUUCUAGGUCAUGCAGCAAAACAGUUUGUAGACAAGCACGUCUUACCGGAGGUUCCUCAACAGCCAGGUCAUGGUCUCCAAAUCAAACACACUAGCCUGCAGGUACUGUGGAAAACUGUACCAGAGACCAAAAGCUCUCCGCAAACACGAAGCAUCCGGAAUAUAAUGCUGAAAACAAUCAGGAUUCCACAUCUUCAGCAGAAUCAAGAUCAUCUAUUUAUCAGUACACCCGUCUGUCUCUCAUGCUUGGGCUUCUUCGAAUAAAUCACAACGAUUCCAUUCACAUGGGAGAUGGUGGCAGGCAUGAUGAGACUAGUAAAGUGGUUCUGUUUAUACUACAAGGCAAGCAAAUGUCCAAAGUAUGCAUAUGGUCUCCUUUGAAACACAGGCAAAGGCAUAUGCUCUCCUAUAUGAACGGCAGGCUUUAUAGAUUGAUAUGGAACCGCACAGUCAACCAUCAAGGCAGAGAAGACACCAAUCAUCCCAUCGACCUUGACUUGGAGCAUUGCAACAGGGCUUUCAAAGAUGAUGUACACACAUACAAGGGGAGGUACACAGAUAAAAGACGAUUCUCAAAGUCAGCAGAAGUGCGCUGUCAAUGGAAGAAUUAUGCCAAAAAUACGACAAAUUGGCAUUCCGCAAGAAAUGUUCGGGAAGGCAUGGAGUUGUUGAUCCUUCUUGGUGAUAUUCUUAAACUUGUAGAACAAUUCCAUUCCUAUGCAGCUCUAUUCAAUGAGGCCAACAAGCCACUGCCACAGAGAAAUCAAAAACAUGCUGAGUGACAUCCAAAAUUGGAUUUCAGAAAGUCUUAAAGUCUUCAGUAGCCGCACAUACUAUAACAUCUGAACCUUUUUUCCCGAUGUGUAAUUCAGUGUCACAUGAUUAAAACGAGACCCUGUUGCAAAGUCGCUAUCACUGUAUGUUUCAUGAUCUUCAUGUUCUGAGUCUGAGUGAGAUGAUGAGCUAUCACUCGAGUCAAGGGAAGUUUUGUACAACUCAAGAAUAUCACAUCUACAUUCACUACAUGGGGUAAUUGCAUGUCCAUGAGUCUCUGCAGUCACAGAGACACUUGCAAGAUAUGGCACAGUUGUCCAUAGCACUCAUGACUUCAGUAAAGCUCAACUCGUCGACAUACGUUGGUUCUGACAUACUGUUUCAUUUCAUCCGAAAUAUUCCGCCUGCCACUGAGACAUCGUCUAAAUUUCAUGAGAAGAGCAUGUGCCUGCUUUUCUGGAUCCCUGCCUGCUCCGUCCUUGUCUCUUGAAUAUAAUCCUCAACAUUAUUGGCUGGACCAUAGUGGAUGACGGUUUCCACACUUUGUAAGUCCCAAGCUGAAUGGUGUUGAGCAAUGGACUAUCAAGGGACUAUCAUCCUCUUGAAACCAUUUGGAUCCAUGAAGGACUCUGACACACUUCCCUGUUUUCCUUCUCAUUCAUACAUAUUCUGUAUGUUGUUAUGCAUGAUUGAUGUUGAACUUUAAUUGAAACUUUAGCUUGAAAAUUGGCCGAUUUCUUUUAUGAAAUUUAACUCCUAUUAUAAGAAUAAGAUCAACAUAUGCAAAAACAAUUGUUGUUAGAUGAUUAUUUUUUUGUAACCGAUCAACAAGAUCAACUUUAGUGUUUUAGUGUUUUAACUUAGCUAAUGUAAUGUAAUACAGUGGAUGUAUGCAUUCCUUUUUCAUAAGGGCAUUAACAUAUAUUACAUAAUGCCUCUACCUGGGACUGCGGCCAAACUUACAAAAUUAACCCUUGUUUGAGAGUAACAAGUAUCAAGUUCAUGAUGAUUGUAGAAGUGAUUGUAUGUAUUCAUAAAUGUGACACAUGCACAUUUUGAAAUGUUAAUAUUUGUGCUUUAACUUUGAUUUGAUGAAUAUCAAAUUAGAUAUUGUAUACACUUUAUAGCUACUUGUGAUCAGUGCACAUUUUUAUACCUUUAGAUUGUGCAGUUUCAUAGUGGUUAGUAAGAAUAUUUUGUGAAUUUAUACUUGUUUUAUCACAAAACAUGUGAAUGAGUGAAUGUCGUCUCAUACUGCAGUCAGCAAUAUUGCAGCCAUAUGAAGGCAGCCUGUAAACCAGUAAUUGAUACGCACACCAUCCUAGUACAUAAAACAUUCGCUCUCCAUGCCUAUUUAUGGUGUCCCCGUCGUGAUUUUGCUGGGAUAUUGCCAAAAGAUGCGUAAAUCCAUGCUCUCUCAAUUCAACAUGCCAUGCCUUGACAGACAAAACGAAAUACAAAAUAUAACAUUUAUACUUACAAUUUUGCAAUGCAGUGUGCUUCAUCAAUGAAAAUUGCCAUCAAAAUCUUCUCUUUAGUCAGGCUGUGUUCCAAGAACUGUCUCUGGACUUGCAAAUAUUAUUAUGUCAGUGUCAGGGUGAAAAAACCGUCACAGUAGCAUGGUUGGAGUUAUUAAGUUUCUUAAACACGAAUGGUGCUAAUUCAAAAGUAAGUGAUUUUCCUGAUCCUGUUGGAGAAAAAAAAGGACAUCCUUUCCUCUGAGGUAACUUACAAUCACUUGUCUUUGAUGAUUCCUGAAGUGAUCAAUUAUGUAACUGCAUUACCUUCCAUACCAACAGUUAUACAUGUAGUUAAGUUAAAUAGAGGGCGUAUAUACUUAAAACACAACAUCAAUCCUUUGUUCCGUUCAGCAGUGUGUCAGAUUCGUGAUGGCUAGCUUGAGGUGGCUAGACUUGCUUUUUGUAUGCAUUACUAGAUUAUUUUUUUAAAUGAAAUAAAUAUAUUCCACGGUCA